This 492-nucleotide ribosomal RNA is filed under the name uncultured bacterium. Its description in RNAcentral is "partial 16S ribosomal RNA". It matches the Rfam family "Bacterial small subunit ribosomal RNA", at positions 29 to 507 of the family's 1533-position model. The record is from RNAcentral.
AGUGAACGCUGGCGGUAGGCCUAACACAUGCAAGUCGAACGGCAGCACAGUAAGAGCUUGCUCUUACAGGUGGCGAGUGGCGGACGGGUGAGGAAUACAUCGGAAUCUACUUUUUCGUGGGGGAUAACGUAGGGAAACUUACGCUAAUACCGCAUACGACCUACGGGUUAAAGCAGGGGAUCUUCGGACCUUGCGCGAUUGAAUUAGCCGAUGUCGGAUUAGCUAGUUGGCGGGGUAAAGGCCCACCAAGGCGACGAUCCGUAGCUGGUCUGAGAGGAUGAUCAGCCACACUGGAACUGAGACACGGUCCAGACUCCUACGGGAGGCAGCAGUGGGGAAUAUUGGACAAUGGGCGCAAGCCUGAUCCAGCCAUACCGCGUGGGUGAAGAAGGCCUUCGGGUUGUAAAGCCCUUUUGUUGGGAAAGAAAAGCAGCAGGUUAAUACCCCGCUGUUCCGACGGUACCCAAAGAAUAAGCACCGGCUAACUUCGUG